AUCCUCUCUGGAUGGCACCUGGAGAGUUUCCAGUCCUCUAUCAGUCUCGGCUAUGGGAGGGAGAGUCAAGCAGAGGCCAUACUCAUUCCAUUUCUAGCAUGGGCAGUGGCUAGUGAGUGGAAGGCAAUCUGCUGCAAGU
This 139-nucleotide small nucleolar RNA is filed under the name Ornithorhynchus anatinus (platypus). The record is from RNAcentral. Lineage: Eukaryota; Metazoa; Chordata; Mammalia; Monotremata; Ornithorhynchidae.